CCUACGGGGGGCAGCAGUGGGGAAUAUUUGUCAAUGCCCGAAAGGGUGAACGAGCGACGCCGCGUGCGGGAUGAAGGCCCUUGGGUCGUAAACCGCUUUUGCAAGGGAAAAACUUACGUGAUGGUACCUUGCGAAUAAGAGGUUGCUAACUCUGUGCCAGCAGCAGCGGUAAUACAGAGACCUCUAGCGUUAUCCGGAUUUAUUGGGCGUAAAGCGCGGGUAGGCGGACAUAUUAGUCAGAUGUCAAAUCCUCGAGCUCAACUCGAGAACUGCAUUUGAAACGGUAUGUCUAGAGAAUACGAGAGACCAGUGGAACUUAUGGUGUAGCAGUGAAAUGCGUUGAUAUCAUAGGGAACACCAAAGGCGAAGGCAUCUGGUUGGCGUAUUUCUGACGCUGAGCCGCGAAAGCGUGGGUAGCGAAUGGGCUUAGAUACCCUUGUAGUC
RNAcentral lists this ribosomal RNA (444 nucleotides) under uncultured bacterium. RNAcentral describes it as "bacterial SSU rRNA". It matches the Rfam family "Bacterial small subunit ribosomal RNA", at positions 338 to 795 of the family's 1533-position model. The record is from RNAcentral.